Long non-coding RNA from Austrofundulus limnaeus, 1284 nucleotides. RefSeq lists it as uncharacterized. Lineage: Eukaryota; Metazoa; Chordata; Actinopteri; Cyprinodontiformes; Rivulidae. The record is from RefSeq and is a predicted model, not a curated record. The transcript is spliced from 2 exons.
AUUUUUGGGAAGUGAAGACAUUUUCCUGGUCCUCUUUUUUUUUUUUUUUUUUUGCAGCUGUACUAAUCAGGUUUAGAUGUAUGGUGUAAAUUAAGUUUUGGUUCAGGUUAGGGUUAGGAAUAGCCUAGUAAUGGUUAUUGUUAGGGGAAAAUGUCUGGGUUAGGCAUAAAUGCAGUUAUAAAAAUGAAUGGACGUCAAUACAAAGUCCUCAGUUUGAUGCAAGUACAAGGAUGUGUGUGUGCUUGUGUUUGUCUGCUACAAAAAUAUCUUGUUAACCAUUGCAAAGAUUUUAUUGAAACUUCCCGAAACUAAUCAUUGGAUUUACAUCUACAACUGAUUAUCUAUUGGAGUCAACACGAUUCAAGCUAAUUGACACUAGAAAACACAAAAAAUAAGUUUAAAUUAGAUAUGACUGUAGCUGAGAAUUAUUCAUGACACACAGGCCUACUAAGUGCUACUCAGUGAAUGGCAUCUUUGUUUAAAAGACUUCCAGUGGAGGGCAUGGUUCUGCUAAUCAGCUAAAAGCUAACAGUGGAACUAACUUUCAGUAGAUUAGCUUUUUCAAUAACUUUGUAACUGUUAGCAGACCAAUUAGCUUCCACUAAAAGUGGUUUUGACUAAUUUAAAUCUCCUACAACUAACUAACAAGCUAACAUCAACAGGUUUGUGUCAGCCUAGCUGUUAGUGUUAGCUUCUGCUAUUUUUCAUGUUUAGCAGUUUUUCAAUAAUGAAGCUACAUUUUGAGUUAGCUGUUUAUGAGUUAGCAAAGCGUGGUUAGCUGUGCCUUCUACAGAAAACGUUCACAUUAUUUUAGAGCCAACCCUGUUUGUUAGGAAAAUACUGUAUAUAGUGAACAAGUGGAUGGAUUUUAAUGAAACUGCCUACACGUGUGCAAAAUGGCCAUAACUGAGUCAAUUUUACAAAUAUUGAUCUAAAAGUUGGAAGUGGUAGCUGAGAGUUGUUCACAACACAUUCUCUGAGUGUUUAAGAUGCUUAAGAUUGUGCGUAAUGUUUUUAUUAAAGUUUGAUUGUUGGAAAAUCAUUAUUAAUAAUUGUGUUAAGUUCAAGUAUAAAAAAAUAGUGGUUAUAUUUGCACCCGCCUUGUCAGUAAUGACAGAGGAAUCAAUGUUUAACAGAUACGUUCCAUUUAAAACGACUCCUUCUGAGCGGUUCAGCAGGAUGUUGUUGCAAACCAAGUGUUGCGAAGGAGACGAAAAUAAAUAUAAAGCAACCAUGUGACGUAAACAGGCUGACAAAGCAGCAACUUUAGCUGAUGUUAUUCCA